This 236-nucleotide long non-coding RNA is filed under the name Carica papaya (papaya). Its description in RNAcentral is "long non-coding RNA (CPAP_LNC006811)". The record is from RNAcentral. Lineage: Eukaryota; Viridiplantae; Streptophyta; Magnoliopsida; Brassicales; Caricaceae.
AAUUCCUUCUUUACUUCCUCUUUUUGGAUCUUAAAAAGUUUAAGUCCAAUAUGGACAUCAGUGGGUAAGAUAAGAAAGUGUCUAAGGAAGGACGGACUUAGAGUCUUAGUAGAAGAAAAAGUUGUUGCAAGAAGAGGAUUCAUUCCCAAGAAUCCUAAACUAAGAAAAAGACACCUAUCCUCCACUCUCCUCUUAAAGGAAAUAAUUUUGAGUUCAACUUCAAUAAGAAAAGCUGA